RNAcentral lists this long non-coding RNA (1498 nucleotides) under Parus major (Great Tit). RNAcentral's name for it is "lncRNA (ENSPMJG00000016183.1)". Lineage: Eukaryota; Metazoa; Chordata; Aves; Passeriformes; Paridae. The record is from RNAcentral.
UGAGUGCAUAUGUGAUAAUAAGGAGUUAGCCUAACCUGCAGUAGUUAAUGUGGUUUUUCUGAAAUUCUCAAUUUUUAUGGAUUAAGCUGCCUUUAGGUCUGCUUUAGGUAGCUUCUUUCUUAAAAUCUUUCCAUGUUUUUUAACAUGGCCUGCAGUCAGAACGCUGGGAUCCAAUGCAUGUGCAACAGGAAUGAAUAGUUUACCAAGGCUUCUUUUCUGUCUACAUAUGUUUUCAAUAGAGAACCCAGCCCAUUAUUACUAUUGAUAAAAAGAGAGGGAGAGAUGAUUCUGCACUGGUUGGGUUAAAUAGUCACAAUGAAUUUGUGGGGCUUAUUCACUAAGAUAAAUAUUAUCAACGGGGGAAUAAACUGUAGUAACCCUUUAUGCACUAAAGUGGAUUAGGUGGAGCUCUUUUAAAAUCCUAAUCUGUUGACUUGUCACUUAGGAGGAGAAAAUGUGAAGCUCAAACUUGCUUUUUCUCAUGAUGCAAGAUAAGAUAUGUCAGAAAAAAUUAUUCAUUUUUGAAAUGAAGUAUCUUCAAGAUGCAGUACUCAAAUAGAAAUAACACUACUGGUAUCAUUAAAAGCUUUGCUGGAUUUUUACCAUUCUUGGUUUCAUUUGAAUAACCUUGCCAGAGACCAAUACAGAAAAAUGUACAAGGCUUAAAACUCUAAUUAUUUGCAGUGUAUAAACAAAGGCAUUAAUGUUUAAUCUUUGCAUAGAGGUAUUUUUGAUGUCAACUCUGCUGUGGUGGUGCAGGUGGCAGGAGUGCCACGACCUCUCUGAAGAAGUAUCCUGAGAAAGAUGGCUCUCAGAGACACAGGAAUAUCCCUCUCUUAGCCUGGGCAACCUGGAGUCUUCCAAAACCUCUGUGAGACUGCUUGAAGAAGCUCAGCUUAAAGGGGACACGUUGUCACUGAGAGCAUACUGCUUUGCAAUGGCAACUGCUCUCAAGCAGAAUGAUAUAGCACAAGCCAAAUUUUAUUGAUCCCAGAUAAUGAGAACAGAGAACAAACUAUACAAUAAUCUUAAAGUCCUCGUCCAGCUCAGAUCUGGUUUGCUAAAAGAGGUAAUAAAUGCAUUAGAGGCAGCAGUGGAAGUAGAUGCUCCUCCCUUUGUGAAAAGAACAGAGUUUUCUGAGCAGGUGGUACGUAUACAGUGAUGAGAGAAUGUUCAUGGUACUGGGCUGAGCCAUGACAGUGGUGGCUCAGCAACAGAACUGCAGAUAACUGUGUUUGCCCUGCUAGUGGUUUUGCCCUUUGUAGUAGUUUGGGUUCUGAUGCAUUCCACUGCCAAAGCAGCUGGCUGGCUUCUUGUACUCUUGGACAAAACACUUCGCUGAGAACUUCAUUUUUUAUUGUGGAUCUUGCUUCUAGAAGCUCAUAUUUCUUCUGAGUGUAGAUGACACUGUCCCUAGUGGCAUUAAAUUAUUUAAUUCCUUUCCUCCCCUGCUGUUUUCAUUUCAUAUGAAAUGAGAAUAAAGUUUCUGGUAACAGCA